AAGUCGUAACAAGGUUUUCGUAGGUGAACCUGCGGAAGGAUCAUUAGUGAACUCGGGUGCUCAGCUCUGAAAUAUUGAGUCUGGCCCCAUUUCCUAACCAAUUACACACUUGUGCACUUUUCUUCUCUGGGUGUCCGCAAGGAUACUUGGAGAGAAAGCUCUUGUGAUUUUAAACCAGUUGAGAAUGAAACUUUAAUGUUGUUAAAACAACUGCAAACGGUGGAUCUCUUGGCUCUC
Molecule: unclassified non-coding RNA, 237 nt
Filed under: air metagenome
Description: partial contains small subunit ribosomal RNA, internal transcribed spacer 1, and 5.8S ribosomal RNA
Rfam family: Eukaryotic small subunit ribosomal RNA (bases 1-46)
Source: RNAcentral